AACGAACGCUGGCGGCGUGCCUAACACAUGCAAGUCGUACGAGAAACACAUCCUUCGGGGUGUGGAGUAAAGUGGCGCACGGGUGAGUAACACGUGGGUAACCUGCCUCGGGGACCGGGAUAACAUCGCGAAAGCGGUGCUAAUACCGGAUAAGACCACACGAGCUUCGGCUCAAGGGGUCAAAGUCGGCCUCUCGAUGAAGCCGGCGCCACGAGAGGGGCCCGCGGACCAUUAGCUAGUUGGUAGGGUAAUGGCCUACCAAGGCCGAGAUGGUUAGCUGGUCUGAGAGGAUGAUCAGCCACACUGGAACUGAGAUACGGUCCAGACUCCUACGGGAGGCAG
This 342-nucleotide ribosomal RNA is filed under the name uncultured Pseudomonadota bacterium. RNAcentral describes it as "bacterial SSU rRNA". It matches the Rfam family "Bacterial small subunit ribosomal RNA", at positions 29 to 351 of the family's 1533-position model. The record is from RNAcentral. Lineage: Bacteria; Pseudomonadati; Pseudomonadota.